GUGACAGCCAUAAUCUGUGGAGUCCCUUCCUUCUGGGCCAGGGGUACCUCCAGUCCUCAUGAAGGGGGCACUCCUUGGGUCCUGCUGAUCCUGGGACCCCUCCCUCUGCUGGCCAGAUGUGACUUCCUCUGUUGAACUGUAAGUGCCACUAAUACCAAGGUGUUCACCUCCCUGAGACCUCCCACCUCCCGCCGUGUGGCAGAAAGGAGAGCAUGCCACAUGGUACCUAUGCCUGGGGCCACCCGGGGCUGAGAACAGUGGAAGCCAGGUUCUGCAAGUUCCCUUCUUUUUCGAGGUGAGGAGGUACCUUCUUACCUUCAGUCCUCACCAACCUUCCUCCUCUUGACUCCUGGCAGACUCUGGACCCAACCUGUGCUGACCAGGUGUGGCUAUCUCUGCUGAGCUGAGGACACCCCUCAGACGGAGGCCCCCACCUCUCUGAGGCCUGGGAGGCAGAAGUGAAGGGGCGCUACACUGACACCCCUGAAUGGGAUUCCCAAGACUGACAAAAGUGCUGCGUCAGAGCUCCCCUCUGCGGACCUGAGUCUAUCCGUCGGAUUCCUGAGGCGGAACGAGGAGCCUGGGCCCGCUUCCCCGCAACAAUCUCAAGCCGCCAUCAGAACCAGACCCUCACUUCUCUGUGAUCCUCAAGGCGCAAGUCACUGCCAUCACAUCCGGCCACCAAGAUACGGGCU
This is a long non-coding RNA of Rhinopithecus roxellana (golden snub-nosed monkey), 695 nucleotides long. RefSeq lists it as uncharacterized. NCBI's taxonomy places the organism in Eukaryota, Metazoa, Chordata, Mammalia, Primates, Cercopithecidae. The record is from RefSeq and is a predicted model, not a curated record. The transcript has 3 exons.